AUUGAACGCUGGCGGCAGGCCUAACACAUGCAAGUCGAGCGGAUGAAGGGAGCUUGCUCCUGGAUUCAGCGGCGGACGGGUGAGUAAUGCCUAGGAAUCUGCCUGGUAGUGGGGGAUAACGUCCGGAAACGGGCGCUAAUACCGCAUACGUCCUGCGGGAGAAAGUGGGGGAUCUUCGGACCUCACGCUAUCAGAUGAGCCUAGGUCGGAUUAGCUAGUUGGUGGGGUAAAGGCCUACCAAGGCGACGAUCCGUAACUGGUCUGAGAGGAUGAUCAGUCACACUGGAACUGAGACACGGUCCAGACUCCUACGGGAGGCAGCAGUGGGGAAUAUUGGACAAUGGGCGAAAGCCUGAUCCAGCCAUGCCACGUGUGUGAAGAAGGUCUUCGGAUUGUAAAGCACUUUAAGUUGGGAGGAAGGGCAGUAAGUUAAUACCUUGCUGUUUUGACGGUACCAACAGAAUAAGCACCGGCUAACUUCGUG
Molecule: ribosomal RNA, 484 nt
Filed under: uncultured bacterium
Lineage: Bacteria
Description: partial 16S ribosomal RNA
Rfam family: Bacterial small subunit ribosomal RNA
Source: RNAcentral